Hypanus sabinus (Atlantic stingray) is the source of this 2901-nucleotide long non-coding RNA. RefSeq lists it as uncharacterized. The record is from RefSeq and is a predicted model, not a curated record. Lineage: Eukaryota; Metazoa; Chordata; Chondrichthyes; Myliobatiformes; Dasyatidae. The transcript is spliced from 4 exons.
AAAACAGAACACCAUGGAGCGUGCCAGAGCAAUAGCAAACAGCACAACCUCGGGCACCCCGGAUCAGGGCAUGUCAACAAAUCGUAAACGUAGCAGAGAAAUAUUCCGGCGCCUCCCACGCCAGGUGUCACUGUUCGGACUCGAUUCAUUUUUCAGGAUCGUACCUUCAACGUUUCAGUCAGUCAUGAAUGGAGAGGACAAAUCUUCAUAAAUCUGACGCGCCUAUCGAGACGUCUGACGAUGACUGAAGUGCUAAUUACUAGUUUUCUCCCCAGUACCGUACCGUGUUCUCGCCUCACUAUUCCGAUCCUGUUGGAUCAAGUAAAGCUUUUGAUGCCUCAAAGAUUCUGAUUCGUCAAGCUUAGGCAUGGAAAUUAAACGAACUGCAAGAGUGUUCAUUAAUAUCCUCAAACAGAUUUUAAAAUCAAAUGCAUUCACGACUCAUCGCGACUUUCACAGUGGAACAGAGCCCCCCAAGGUGAAUGCAAAAUUGGAGAUUGUUGGGAUUAGACGGUAUGGAAUUGGAUGCAAGCGACGUUGGGUUGACAUUAUGGUAUACAUUGGAGCUAACGAAAAGGUGUGAUGUUGAAGUAGCCCAUUCAGGUUCUUUCUGAGAAGCGUUACUGCUCCUUGACGGUUGAUCAAUUCAAAUCCUGCUUUGAAGAGAUGAAAGCCAAGUGGACAUCAGAGGAUGACAGCAGGCAAUCAUGAAUCUUGAAUUUUUACUGAGCACCAGAAGAAGAUACUGACAUAACUUUCCCUCUGGCUGGCAUUUCCACUGGGAGCUGACAUUGACGACCGCCCCAAAGGCGACUGAAGAAGUUCGGCAUGAGCCCCCAAACCCCCAAGAUCUUCUACAAGAGCACCAUGGAGAUCAUCCUGACUGGCUGUAUCACCGUCUGGUACAGGAACUACACCGACCUUGAUUGCUGGGCACUGCAGAGAGUGGUACGGACAGCCCAGCUCAUCCAUGGACGUGAACUUCCCUCCACUGAGGGCAUUUACAGCAGCAGGUGCAGAAAGAAAGCCUGGAAGAACAUCGGGGACACCAGUCACCCCAACUGUAAACUGUUUCAGCUGCUUUCGUCUGGGAAACAUUACCGCAGCAUUGAGACCAGGAUCAACAAGCUAUGGGCCAGCUUCUUUCUACAAGCCAUCAGACUUAUAAAUUCCCAUGUCUGUACAUUGCGACAGAUUCAUAAUGCUAAGGUUUUUACUCCCUUAUGUUGUGGAAUGGCUGUAUCCUUUAAAUUCUUUUUAUAUAUACAUAUAUACACACACAUACGUGCACACAUAUAUGUAUGUAUAUAUAGAUAGUGAUAUAUAUAUAGAUAUAGUUGGAUAAUAAAUUGACUUCAAUUUGAACAAGUUGGGGCCACCAGCAUCUAGAGUUACUAUAGCCAAUUACAAGAUCAUAGUUCCCAACCCAGCUGAGAUCUAUUAACUUCAGUACAAAGCCAAGAUCAAACCUAGAACGUUCUAUUCUCCACGCCCGAGGAAAACGAGACGAAUCAGAGUGACGAUAAUGACAGGCCAAAAGACGUAAUCUUUCUGCUGCGGGUCCCUAUUUGGCUUUGGUUUAACAAUUGUUUGGACACGGGACUGCGGCCACAUAAGAUAACCCCAUCAGAAGGUUAAUUCCUGUAGUACGUUACUGGCUAGUCGCCACUCAUUUCCACCGCUCAUAAGCAAUGUAGAUUAUCUAUAAAUGGGAAGAGAAGUAGAUGGAGCCAAAUGAUGUUCAAGAGUUUCAGCAGAUGUAAUUCAUUAGCACUCCACAGCCAAAAGCACAGGAAAUUAACUGAAGUACAGAGAGCAGGCCUUUAAUCCCGAAUUCCUUUUCCAUGACUGAGAAAAGAGGAAAGCGUCCAAGAAGAAGGAGGAAGUGGCUUGCCACAAGGAUCAAAGUUCACAUCUAUAAGGGUUGAUUGUUUAGACUUGGUAAUCAGAGAAGGAGACACCCAAGGUGACCUCUUAAUGACACACAAAUAUUUCAGGGAAAUAGAACAUUUAAGUCCAGAGCUUUAUUCUUGAUUAUUAUACAAUUUAUGAAGGGUAUAGAUCGGGUAAAUAAGACCCGGUUUUUUCCACUGACAACCAGAGGUCAUGGGUUAAGGGUGAAAGGUAAACAUGAGGGGAAACUUCCUCCCUCAGAGGGUGGUGAGAGUGUGGAAUGAGCUGCCAACGCAAGUGGUGCAGGCGAUUUUGACCUUAACGUUCAGUAGAAGUUUGGACGGGAGGGGUAUGGAGGACUAUGGUCUGGGUGCAGGUCGAUGGGACUGGGCAGUUUAAAAGGUCUGACAUGGACUGGACGGGCUAAAAGGCCUGUUUCUGUGCUGUUGUUUUCUAUGUCUCUCUUAAGUCUGAAAAGAAUGUCUGAUUGCUUAAUCGAAGGCAAACCCAUAGAAGGGGCCAGCCAGCUGGAGGAGAGGAUGUGCGAUGGGAUAAUCAGAAUGUAGUUAAUCUUCUUUAUUAGGUUAAUUUCAGAUAAAAGACCUCAGCCUGAAACGGUGACUGGUUAUUUGCUCCAUUGAUGCUGCCUGACCUGCUGAGUUCGUCCAAUAUUUUGUGUGUGUGUGUUCCUCUGAAUUUCCAGCAUCUGCAGAAUCUCAAGUGUUUGUUUGUAAAUAUGCAAGGGGCCAAAUGCUUUUCUUCAGACAGUUGCUGGAGCAUGCAGUUAGAGUGAAAGGGGUGAAGUUCAAAGGAGAUGUGCAGGACAAGCUAUUUCACACUGUCAGGAACGAGUACCAGUGGCUUUUGAGAGGCUUAUCGGACGAAACGAAUACAGGACCUGCAUUGCUCUGCCAAGUACUGUGGGCAUACCAUGUUGGCGCUGGAAUGUGUGCUGACACUUGCAGGCUUCCCCAAGCCCACGCUUGGGAGCGCUGGUUAUUAACACAA